CCUACGGGAGGCAGCAGUAGGGAAUCUUUCACAAUGGGCGAAAGCCUGAUGGAGCAACGCCGCGUGCAGGAUGAAGGCCUUCGGGUUGUAAACUGCUUUUAUAAGCGAGAAAUAUGAUGGUAACUUAUGAAUAAGGAUCGGCUAACUACGUGCCAGCAGCCGAGGUCAUACGUAGGAUCCGAGCAUUAUCCGGAGUGACUGGGUGUAAAGAGUUGCGUAGGUGGCAUAAUAAGUAGCUAGUGAAAUCUGGUGGCUCAACCAUUCAGACUAUUAGCUAAACUGUUAAGCUCGAGACCGUUAGGGGUAACUGGAAUUUCUAGUGUAGGAGUGAAAUCCGUAGAUAUUAGAAGGAACACCAAUAGCGUAGGCAGGUUGCUGGGACGGUUCUGACACUAAGGCACGAAAGCGUAGGGAGCAAACGGGAUUAGAUACCCCUGUAGUC
This 442-nucleotide ribosomal RNA is filed under the name uncultured bacterium. RNAcentral's name for it is "partial 16S ribosomal RNA". It matches the Rfam family "Bacterial small subunit ribosomal RNA", at positions 338 to 795 of the family's 1533-position model. The record is from RNAcentral.